This 100-nucleotide small nucleolar RNA is filed under the name Dichanthelium oligosanthes. Its description in RNAcentral is "Plant small nucleolar RNA R71". It matches the Rfam family "Plant small nucleolar RNA R71". Rfam says of the family: R71 is a member of the C/D box family of snoRNAs containing the C (UGAUGA) and D (CUGA) box motifs. Multiple nearly identical copies of this snoRNA have been identified in Arabidopsis, and it is thought to function as a 2'-O-ribose methylation guide for 18S ribosomal RNA. Lineage: Eukaryota; Viridiplantae; Streptophyta; Magnoliopsida; Poales; Poaceae. The record is from Rfam by way of RNAcentral.
AGGCCAUGAUGUGGACAUCUUCUAAGCAGGGCCUUAUAUCUCUCCCAGGCAGCAUAUAUGCUCUCUCUAUCUUGCUGAGCAGAACUAAGAAUUUGAGUAC